Molecule: non-coding RNA, 27 nt
Filed under: Mus musculus (house mouse)
Lineage: Eukaryota; Metazoa; Chordata; Mammalia; Rodentia; Muridae
Source: RNAcentral
UGCGACCUGAUUGCUAAGUGCUGUCAG